UGACUGAAUCCUUCGGGAGGACGUGAGUGGAACGAGCGGCGGACGGGUGAGUAACACGUGGGCAACCUGCCUGUAAGACUGGGAUAACUCCGGGAAACCGGGGCUAAUACCGGAUAGUACUUUGGUUCAUAGGAACCGAAGUGGAAAGGUGGCGCAAGCUACCACUUACAGAUGGGCCCGCGGUGCAUUAGCUAGUUGGUGAGGUAACGGCUCACCAAGGCAACGAUGCAUAGCCGACCUGAGAGGGUGAUCGGCCACACUGGGACUGAGACACGGCCCAGACUCCUACGGGAGGCAGCAGUAGGGAAUCUUCCGCAAUGGACGAAAGUCUGACGGAGCAACGCCGCGUGAACGAAGAAGGUUUUCGGAUCGUAAAGUUCUGUUGUUAGGGAAGAACAAGUACCGUUCGAAUAGGGCGGUACCUUGACGGUACCUAUCGAGGAAGCCCCGGCUAACUACGUGCCAGCAGCCGCGGUAAUACGUAGGGGGCAAGCGUUGUCCGGAAUUAUUGGGCGUAAAGCGCGCGUAGGCGGUUUCUUAAGUCUGAUGUGAAAUCUUGCGGCUCAACCGCAAGCGGUCAUUGGAAACUGGGGAACUUGAGUACAGAAGAGGAGAGCGGAAUUCCACGUGUAGCGGUGAAAUGCGUAGAGAUGUGGAGGAACACCAGUGGCGAAGGCGGCUCUCUGGUCUGUAACUGACGCUGAGGUGCGAAAGCGUGGGGAGCGAACAGGAUUAGAUACCCUGGUAGUCCACGCCGUAAACGAUGAGUGCUAGGUGUUAGGGGGUUUCCGCCCCUUAGUGCUGCAGUUAACGCAUUAAGCACUCCGCC
Molecule: ribosomal RNA, 829 nt
Filed under: Gracilibacillus dipsosauri
Lineage: Bacteria; Bacillati; Bacillota; Bacilli; Caryophanales; Bacillaceae
Description: bacterial SSU rRNA
Rfam family: Bacterial small subunit ribosomal RNA
Source: RNAcentral